This 164-nucleotide ribosomal RNA is filed under the name uncultured bacterium. RNAcentral describes it as "partial 16S rRNA". It matches the Rfam family "Bacterial small subunit ribosomal RNA", at positions 355 to 511 of the family's 1533-position model. The record is from RNAcentral.
UAGGGAAUCUUCCACAAUGGACGAAAGUCUGAUGGAGCAACGCCGCGUGAGUGAAGAAGGGUUUCGGCUCGUAAAACUCUGUUGUUAAAGAAGAACAUAUCUGAGAAUAACUGUUCAGGUAUUGACGGUAUUUAACCAGAAAGCCACGGCUAACUACGUGCUAG